Molecule: ribosomal RNA, 912 nt
Filed under: uncultured archaeon
Lineage: Archaea
Description: bacterial SSU rRNA
Rfam family: Archaeal small subunit ribosomal RNA
Source: RNAcentral
UUCCGGUUGAUCCCGCCGGACCCGACUGCUAUCAGAGUGGGACUAAGCCAUGCGAGUCAACAUAGCAAUAUGUGGCAUACGGCUCAGUAACACGUAGUCAACAUGCCCAGGGGACGUGGAUAACCUCGGGAAACUGAGGAUAAACCGCGAUAGGUCAUCACUUCUGGAAUGGGUAAUGACUUAAACCUAUAUGGCCCCUGGAUUGGACUGCGGCCGAUCAGGCUGUUGGUGAGGUAAUGGCCCACCAAACCUGUAACCGGUACGGGCUCUGAGAGGAGGAGCCCGGAGAUGGGCACUGAGACAAGGGCCCAGGCCCUAUGGGGCGCAGCAGGCGCGAAACCUCUGCAAUAGGCGAAAGCUUGACAGGGUUACUCUGAGUGAUUUCCGUUAAGGAGAUCUUUUGGCACCUCUAAAAAUGGUGCAGAAUAAGGGGUGGGCAAGUCUGGUGUCAGCCGCCGCGGUAAUACCAGCACCCCGAGUGGUCGGGACGUUUAUUGGGCCUAAAGCAUCCGUAGCCGGUUCUACAAGUCUUCCGUUAAAUCCACCUGCUUAACAGAUGGGCUGCGGAAGAUACUAUAGAGCUAGGAGGCGGGAGAGGCAAGCGGUACUCGAUGGGUAGGGGUAAAAUCCGUUGAUCCAUUGAAGACCACCAGUGGCGAAGGCGGCUUGCCAGAACGCGCUCGACGGUGAGGGAUGAAAGCUGGGGGAGCAAACCGGAUUAGAUACCCGGGUAGUCCCAGCUGUAAACGAUGCAGACUCGGUGAUGAGUUGGCUUAUUGCUAACUCAGUGCCGCAGGGAAGCCGUUAAGUUUGCCGCCUGGGGAGUACGGUCGCAAGACUGAAACUUAAAGGAAUUGGCGGGGGAGCACCACAAGGGGUGAAGCCUGCGGUUCAAUUGGAUUCAACGCCGGG